Zalophus californianus (California sea lion) is the source of this 612-nucleotide long non-coding RNA. RefSeq lists it as uncharacterized. The record is from RefSeq and is a predicted model, not a curated record. The transcript has 3 exons. NCBI's taxonomy places the organism in Eukaryota, Metazoa, Chordata, Mammalia, Carnivora, Otariidae.
GUCUGCUGACCGCUGGCAACCGAAACUGUUGAUAAUGGCGACUACCACUGUCUGGGUUAAUAGGAGAGAGGUUUUCUUUUGUAAUUGCCUCAGACUUGUAGAAAAUUACUUUGGGCAGAAUUAAGAGUGAAAUACCAUAUUUUGGGGGGAGGGGGAUUGACUUGUGAAAAUAACAAAAGUGGUUCAGAGGCGACCCUUUGAAGUGGGGUUGAAAAAGCACCUGAAUUAUAAUAGUUAGGUCCAUGCUAUGGUUAGGUUGACUUUAAACAGGGUUGAACGCCAGUGACAUCAGAAUAUAUUGUUAAAAUGGUAGUGUCAUCGGAAAAAGUGCUUUGUUUUUCAGUGUGAUUAAUUUUGGAGGAUUAACACCAAGGCUUGGUCUUUUCCCAGCAGCACUGGGGGAGCUUGGACACAAGGAGAUCUUUGCUCUGGUCAAGGAGGAUGAGGGCCGGGAAUCUUGAACUCCACUGAAGGAUGAAGAAGCUGAACUUUAGGACAGAUACUUAUUGAAAGCUUACUGUGUGUCAGGUACCCACCAGGCUGGACACUGGCAGCUAAUUGUAUUGAAAAUAUUACUAUAUAUACAUGGAAAAUGUAUUCAUGGAAUAAAAU